GAUAAAUGUUUGGUAUGUUUAUUUGAAAUAAUUGGAUAGGUGAAACAAUUGAGUAACAAGUUGUGAUGGGAUUAAACUUCAUCGAUUAGUCCUAUGGUGUCUUUCCUUAAUAAUACUCCGUUUGUUUCUAUAUGUAAACAUCUUUUGCCUUUAAUAAAAGGGUGCUUAGAUAUAGGGACGGAGAGAGUAAUAUAUUUCUUCUAUCUCAAUUAUGC
Molecule: long non-coding RNA, 215 nt
Filed under: Medicago truncatula (barrel medic)
Lineage: Eukaryota; Viridiplantae; Streptophyta; Magnoliopsida; Fabales; Fabaceae
Description: lncRNA gene4065
Source: RNAcentral